This 406-nucleotide ribosomal RNA is filed under the name uncultured bacterium. RNAcentral describes it as "partial 16S ribosomal RNA". It matches the Rfam family "Bacterial small subunit ribosomal RNA", at positions 30 to 526 of the family's 1533-position model. The record is from RNAcentral.
AUUGAACGCUGGCGGCAGGCCUAACACAUGCAAGUCGAACGAGUGGCGGACUGGUGAGUAAUGUCUGGGCCACUGCCUGAUGGAGGGGGAUCACUACGGGAAACGGUAGCUAAUACCGCAUACCAUCACUUGUGCCCAGUUGGGUUUAGCUAGUUGGUGGGGUAACGGCGCACCAAGGCGACGAUCCCUAGCUGGGCUGAGAGGAUGACCAGCCACACUGGAACUGAGACACGGUCCAGACUCCUACGGGAGGCAGCAGUGGGGAAUAUUGCACAAUGGGCGAAAGCCUGAUGCAGCCAUGCCGCGUGUGUGAAGAAGGCCUUCGGGUUGUAAAGUACUUUCGGCAGGGAAGCGGUACCCGCAGAAGAAGCACCGGCUAACUCCGUGCCAGCAGCCGCGGUAAUAC